Molecule: ribosomal RNA, 365 nt
Filed under: Hydnum itachiharitake
Lineage: Eukaryota; Fungi; Basidiomycota; Agaricomycetes; Cantharellales; Hydnaceae
Description: partial 28S ribosomal RNA
Rfam family: Eukaryotic large subunit ribosomal RNA
Source: RNAcentral
UUUUGACCUCGAAUCAGGUGGGACUACCCGCUGAACUUAAGCAUAUCAAUAAGCGGAGGAAAAGAAACUAACAAGGAUUCCCUUAGUAACUGCGAGUGAAGUGGGAUGAGCUCAAAUUUAAAAUCUGGUAGUCUCUGGCUGCCCGAGUUGUAAUCUAGAGAAGUGUUUUCUGUGCUGGACUGCAUUCAAGUUUCCUGGAUAUGGAACAUCAUAGAGGGUGAGAAUCCCGUCUUUGGUGCAGACUCCCAGUGCUCUGUGAUGCGCUCUCAACGAGUCGAGUUGUUUGGGAUUGCAGCUCAAAAUGGGAGGUAAAUUCCUUCUAAAGCUAAAUAUUGGCGAGAGACCGAUAGCGAACAAGUACCGUG